CGCGGUGUACUCCACCGGCCCCCUGUGGCCUCUCCAUCCGCGGCGGGGGAAGAAGCUGGAGUCGCACCUCUCCCAAGAGCACAGGCGGCCCCCACUGGGCCUGACAGCAGCCUGGGGCCAGCCCAGUAUCCAGAGCAGCGUUCAGCAGGGACUGCAGACUCAGGACUGGGUAAGCGGAAGGAAACCCUGGCCGAGGCUACUCUCCUGUCCCCAGCCCGCCUGAGGCCGCUGUCUCUGAAAACUCCAGGCUGGUCGUGAUGGGAGUGGGACUGAUGAGAAACAGAUGGCUGGACUCAGGAGGCUCUCUUCCCCAUGGCCCUGGACGAGCACCAAGGUGGACCUGCACCCUUCUUGCCUCCAGAACCGUGGGCCACCGGCCUCUGCUGGGCUCUGUAGAGAGGUCUUCCAAGGCCAGGAAGGAGGCAACGCAGCACACUUCCCUUAGCCCUCCCCAGUGCUCCCACCCCGGGCUGAAGGUGGCAAGAAGCAGGAGGGAAAGCAAGGUCCCCGGGGGGGUGGUGUCCUCCCAACCAGGUGGGGCAGCUGUCAGGAGAAGGAUUUGUCACUGAAAGUUGACCAAAACAAAAUGGUGGGAGAGGCUCUGCUGCGAUUCCCCAAACUGGAAGCAUCUCCUGGUCUCUCUACUGCUGGACAGUGAGCUACAGGCUUGUG
RNAcentral lists this long non-coding RNA (672 nucleotides) under Pan troglodytes (chimpanzee). RNAcentral's name for it is "long non-coding RNA NONPTRT004977". Lineage: Eukaryota; Metazoa; Chordata; Mammalia; Primates; Hominidae. The record is from RNAcentral.